This 454-nucleotide ribosomal RNA is filed under the name uncultured bacterium. RNAcentral describes it as "bacterial SSU rRNA". It matches the Rfam family "Bacterial small subunit ribosomal RNA", at positions 390 to 842 of the family's 1533-position model. The record is from RNAcentral.
AGCCAAGUCGCGUGAGGGAAGACGGUCCUAUGGAUUGUAAACCUCUUUUGCCGGGGAGCAACGGGGUCCUUGCGAGGGCCUAAUGAGAGUACCCGGAGAAAAAGCAUCGGCUAACUCCGUGCCAGCAGCCGCGGUAAUACGGAGGAUGCGAGCGUUAUCCGGAUUUAUUGGGUUUAAAGGGUGCGUAGGCGGGCUGUUAAGUCAGCGGUCAAAUGUCGGGGCUCAACCCCGGCCUGCCGUUGAAACUGGUGGCCUCGAGUGGGCGAGAAGUAUGCGGAAUGCGUGGUGUAGCGGUGAAAUGCAUAGAUAUCACGCAGAACUCCGAUUGCGAAGGCAGCAUACCGGCGCCCGACUGACGCUGAGGCACGAAAGCGUGGGUAUCGAACAGGAUUAGAUACCCUGGUAGUCCACGCAGUAAACGAUGAAUGCUAGCUGUCCGGGGCUUCGGUCCUGG